Molecule: long non-coding RNA, 635 nt
Filed under: Hordeum vulgare
Lineage: Eukaryota; Viridiplantae; Streptophyta; Magnoliopsida; Poales; Poaceae
Description: long non-coding RNA (HVUL_LNC005278)
Source: RNAcentral
GCAGCACACCAAAGAUGUCAGAUGAUAAUUCCAAAGAGGUUUGCAUCUUAACUAAGCCUUUAUGUUAUUACGUAUAUUUCACAAUUGGUUAUAUGCAUAGAAAUUGAGUUAUACUAUGAUAAGAAUUUAAUGUUUUUCACGGCUCACAAGUCAUGACAGUUCUGUGCAUAGAUAUAUUCUGGAAGCUUCAGAUUUCUUAUAUGCGGCAUUUCUAUCCUAGUAUUAGUUGAUGUAAAAUGCUAAUACUGUACUUGGCCUGGCACUGCUUCAUCUCAUACAGAUACAGCUUGGGGAUGAGUAUUCAGUGUUCGACAGCGAGGAAGAAGCAGAGGAAAUCGAUGCUGGUGAUGCAGAGACUGAUGACGAUGAACUAACUGACGAAGAAAAGGAUAUUCAGGAGGUAGUGUGAAAUUAUUCUUCAUCUUUCCCCCUCCUUUUCUCUGCACAGUAAUGUCAUGACAAUAAUGUCUGGCAUGAAGAAUUAACUUAACUUGCUUCUGGGAAAACCUUACAAAAGCUGCUGCUACAAUAAUAAGAAACUACUCCCUUCGUUCCUAAAUAUAAGUCUUUUUAGAUGUUUCACUAGGGGGCUACAUACGGAUGUAUAUAGACAUAUUUUAGAGUGUAGAUUCACU